This 1103-nucleotide small RNA is filed under the name Pan troglodytes (chimpanzee). Its description in RNAcentral is "sense intronic". The record is from RNAcentral. Lineage: Eukaryota; Metazoa; Chordata; Mammalia; Primates; Hominidae.
GCAUGAUGUCACCUGCCUGUGAUACCAACUGUAUUUUGGGCGCAGUUGGGUAGAUGAGCUGUGUCCUCGGCCCUGACCAGCGCUGAGUCAGUGUUUCUGUUGCUCCUCAUUGUAUGAAAGGAGAGGAAGAGGCCAGCAGUGCCCUUGAACCCACUGCUGGUUUGCCAGUCAUGGUGGGUUGGGAUGCACACCUGUGAUUCCGGUCUCCACUUUGACCCUGUGUUUGUGCUUUCUGCUUUCAUCACUGUAUGAUGAAGCAGCUAGGAGCACAGGAAUUUCUCUUAACGUCUAACUUUAUACCACAUGCUGACAGUUAGUGCCUAAAAUACAGUGCGUGUAUUAUUUUUACCCUCUUCACAGCCCAUCGUGUCCCCAGCAGGAGAGACCGUGGAGGGACCAGGGACAGGCGCUUAGGCCUGUGACUGAUCCUCUGGAUUCUGAAACCAGAGCAGCCACCCUUUUUGCUGACAUUAACCUGGAGAGUGAUCAAAGCACAAGAAAGGGGAUAACUUAAAUCUAUUGGUAUUUACUUAGUUGGAACAUUAUUUUACUUAUUUAUUUUUUUGGCGAUAGAAUCUUAGAUUCUGUUUGCCAGGCUGGAGUACAGUGGCACAACCAUAGUUCACUGCAGUCUCCAUCCCCUGGCACAAGUGAUCCUCCUGUCUCAGCCUCCCAAGUAGCUAGGACCACAGGCACACACCACCAUGCCUAGCUAAUUUCUUAUUUUUUUUUUGUAGUCAUGGCGUCUUGCUAUGCUGCUUAGGCUGGUCUUGAACAGCCUCAAGCCCUCCUCCUGCCUCAGCCUCCCAAAGCCGAGGAUUACAGGAUUAUAGGCAUGAGCCAGCAAGCCCAGUCUAGAACAUUCUUUAUCCUUCCUAUUUUCCUCAGAUACUUUCACUCUUUUUUUAAACUUUAUUUAUUUUUUAUAGAGACAGGGUCUCACUAUGUUGCCCAGGCUGGUCUCUAACUCCUGGGCUCAAGUGAUCCUCCCACCUUGGCCUCCCAAAGUGCUGGAAUUACAGCGAUGAUAUUUUCACUCUAAAAAGAUAGAAAGUAUAUUGACCAGCCUGGCCAACAUGGUGAAACCCCGUCUCUACUAAAAA